This 80-nucleotide non-coding RNA is filed under the name Deltaproteobacteria bacterium. Its description in RNAcentral is "c-di-GMP sequence". It matches the Rfam family "c-di-GMP-I-GGC riboswitch aptamer". The record is from RNAcentral. Lineage: Bacteria; Pseudomonadati; Myxococcota; Myxococcia.
GCCGACAAAGCCAAACCAUGAGUAAGCGUGGGACGGAAAGCCACGGGUCCCCAAAAGCCGGGAUAGCCAGGUUGCCGAAA